Molecule: ribosomal RNA, 465 nt
Filed under: uncultured bacterium
Lineage: Bacteria
Description: partial 16S ribosomal RNA
Rfam family: Bacterial small subunit ribosomal RNA
Source: RNAcentral
GACGAACGCUGGCGGCGUGCUUAACACAUGCAAGUCGAACGGAAAGGCCCUGCUUGCAGGGUACUCGAGUGGCGAACGGGUGAGUAACACGUGGGUGAUCUGCCCUGCACUUCGGGAUAAGCCUGGUAAACUGGGUCUAAUACCGGAUAGGAGCCAUUUUUAGUGUGAUGGUUGGAAAGUUUUUUCGGUGUAGGAUGAGCUCGCGGCCUAUCAGCUUGUUGGUGGGGUAAUGGCCUACCAAGGCUGCGACGGGUAGCCGGCCUGAGAGGGUGGACGGCCACAUUGGGACUGAGAUACGGCCCAGACUCCUACGGGAGGCAGCAGUGGGGAAUAUUGCACAAUGGGCGCAAGCCUGAUGCAGCGACGCCGCGUGGGGGAUGACGGCCUUCGGGUUGUAAACUCCUUUCGCUAGGGACGAAGCUUUUUGUGACGGUACCUAGAUAAGAAGCACCGGCUAACUACGUG